Molecule: long non-coding RNA, 2325 nt
Organism: Musca domestica (house fly)
Lineage: Eukaryota; Metazoa; Arthropoda; Insecta; Diptera; Muscidae
Exons: 2
Source: RefSeq, a predicted model, not a curated record
UGUAAACUUAAAAUCGGUUAGUGCCAUUUUCACGAUGAUCCAUGUUAUCUAAAGAUUUUGUUUGCUCGCUGACCCAUCGUGAAAUUUAGUGUUGAAUUAUUUCUUUAACAUGUGAAAAUUACAUGACAUAUUCCUUAUUCUUAUAUAUUAAAUUUGUUAUUGAUUUUUUCACUAUAAUAUAUCAUAUAUACAGAUUUCAUUUGUUUGGUGACCCAGAGCAAAAUGUUGUGUAGGACAAUUUAUCAUUUGCCAUCACUGGUCAAAAAUGUGGCUUUAAGGGUCAUUUUGGUACUUAAUGAAGAAUGGAUGAAAAUAACAAUAUAAAAGUUUAAUUUUUGUAUAUAUCGUAUAAAAAGCGAUAUUCUCGUGACAUAUAUCAUGUCUAGAGACUACCAAUUUACACUUACCCAUAGAAAAUUUGAGGUAGAAAAUUUCUCCCAUUGGCAUCUUAUCCCUAAAAUGUGGUAUUCAGGCUAUAUUAACUUAAAUCCAAAUACCCUGACCCUGAGGGCUAAUUUUCGUGGUAUAUAUCCAGUCUAGAGACUUACUAUUUUCACAGGCCCACAGUAAAUUUGAUAUAUGAAAUUUCUUCCGUUGACAAGUUUUCCAGAAAUUGUCGUCGGACUGUUUCAAAACAAUUCCAAAAAUCAAAAAAAAAAAAUCAAAAAAAUUAAAAAAAAUAAAUUUAACGCCUUCGAAAAAUUAUCAAUCGCCAUUGAAGUUGACAAAUUUCAUAAUUAGGUCCGGCUUUGUUAUUUGUUUUGAGCCCAAACAUUUUUCAAUUUCUUUAGCCUUGAAUCGGACGUAAAUCUUUCGGUCUCUUGAUUUGCCGUUAAGAAAACAAUUAGACGCGGAAAACUGUAACAAUUCAAUCAGUAUAGGAUGGGCAAUGCUAGAAAAUGAUUGCGAUUGCGAUUUGUCGUUCCCGUAUAAGCUGGCUGUCAAUGGUUGUCAUUGCUGAAGAAAAAAAUUGAAUAAAACGCGAAAUUUUUGAGAUAUGGCGGAUUUGGGGCCGCAUUGAAGAAUUUCAAAGAAAACCAUUCUAAGUUAAAGAAGAUUCGAUAUUUACAAAGAAGAAAUCCCAAUAGUUCUAAUAGCAUUGGAUCGGCUCCCAUUGGGACACUUAUACGUUUCUUUUGUUCGAUGACCUAUAGUCGAAUUCGCUGAAGAAGAUUUUCUCCAUUUUUGCCGACCCUCUAACUGGAACCAUAAUGGUAGUUUUUGGUUACAAUUUAUUGUUCACGUUUAUAUAAACCCAAACUUCAAUAAUUAUAACCAUUUAACAUUUUUAAAUUUGUUAUUGCUGCUUUCACUAUUAUUCGUGAUAUAUACAGAAUUUUCUUGUUCGCUGACCCACAAUAAAAUUUUAUAUAGAAUCAUUAUUAGUAAUUUCGGUAACAUAUUCUCAAACAUGGCAAAAUAGUCCAAUACGUAAAAUUUAAAUUUGUUAGUGCCACUUUCGCGAUGAUUUAUGCUACUUAAAAUUUUCUUUUGUUUGUUGACCAAUAGUGAAAUUUGGUUUAGAAUCAUUUCUCCUUUGACGUCGUACCCAAAAAUUGUGAUUUUGUGGACACUUUCGGAAGUUUAUCAAAAACAUGUGAAAAUAACACCACGUAGUCCUUAAUUUUAUACCUUCAAGUUGUUAUUAAAUGAUUAAUCGCAAAUACAGAUUCUAUUUGUUUCGAGUCUUCCUACUUUUACCUACCCAUAGCAAAUUUGAUGUAGGACAUUUUUUCAGUUGACAAGGUAUCCAACAAAUGUCAUUGUCAGCCUGUUUUAAAUCGAUUCCGAAAAUAAAAUAAAAAAGUGAAAAAAUUAAUUUAACGCCUUCGAAAAAUUAUCCACCGGCAACGAAGUAAGCAAAAUUCAAAAUUAGGUCCAUCUUUGUUGAUAAUGGAGGAAUGCAGCGGAUUUGGGGCAUGAGCGAUGACAAUCACGGACAAAAUAAGCAAACAAAACAAUGAUUGGAAAUUGUGGCAAUAGUCAUUGUCAAAUGGAAAAAAUAAGGUUUUUGUAGAGAACGGACAAAAUGGGCUAAGCACCAAAUUGUUACCCAAGGGGGAGAGGCGUCAGUUAAAAAAAGUUCAAGACAAAUGGGGACCAAAUCAAGAUGUGAAUAUUCUUUUAAUUUUGGCUAUCAAUGCUGUCUCAUCCGCAUUGAAGAAGUUGAAAUGGAAACAUUUUAAAUUAGAAAAGAUUCGAUUUUGACAAAAGUUUUAUGAAAAAUCAGUUAUCUAUUGACAACAUCCCCUAAAAAUGUGGUUUCAAUUGUCAUUUCUGUAGUUUAUUAAAAAUAUGGGAAAGUAGCCCAAUAUGUAAAUUUUA